ACUCCUCUCCACUCAAAUAUCAGGAACAAUCCCAUAAACUCUGUCUGUUACUUCAAGAAAGACGUAACGAUCAUCUUUUCCACUUCAAGUGGACUGUCAAGAGUCCCUCGAAGUUUCCAGGUAAACAGAGAGAGGGCUUGUUUCAUGGAGAUGCUUCAUCUUCAGGGUGCCUCAUCUAUUAUUGGCAGUGAAUAUUGUAAGAAAUAUGUACAUCCUCGGGGCCCACCUUCUCUACUUCCUAAACUGUUUCUACAACCCCCUGCGACGUCCAAGGCUUUACUGGGAAAGUCUUCAUUAGAUAGUCGCCUGUUGAUUUCCUAUAGGGGUUCAAUAUCAGCAGAAGUUGGAAAGCAAUGUUGGGAUUUUGGAAGAUUCUUGAAGACCAUAUACUUCUUCCAAGGACCCCCAUCUCCUUCUAAGUUCAUUGAAUUCAUAAUUGAGAAACUAUCGGGUCCUGCACCUAGCGAACCACCAAAAAGAAUGGAAUCUUCUGGUAUUUUCCUAGUUGCUGGAGCCACUGGGGGUGUAGGGAGGAGAGUGGUUGACGUCUUGCGCAAAAAAGGAUUGCCUGUCCGUGCAUUGGUCAGAAAUGAAGAGAAGGCAAGAAGGAUGUUAGGCCCAGAUGUUGACUUGGUAGUUGGAGACAUCACCAGGGAAAGCACUCUGGCCCCUGAGAACUUCAAAGGAGUGAGAAAAGUCAUCAAUGUCGUUUCUGUCAUCAUUGGCCCAAAGGAAGGGGACACUCCUGACAGGGCCAAAUACAGCCAAGGAAUCAAGUUUUUUGAACCAGAGAUCAAAGGCGAUUCACCUGAAUUGGUUGAGUACAUGGGGAUGAGAAAUUUAAUCAAUGCUGUCAAAAAGGGUGUUGGACUGCGGAAUGGAAAAGUAUUAUUUGGUCUGGAAGAUGAUAAAUUUAAAGAGCUGCCUUGGGGUGCUUUGGAUGAUGUUGUGAUGGGAGGAGUUAGUGAAAGCACGUUCAUGAUGGACUCCAAGGGUGGUGAGAAUGGUGGGCCUACUGGAAUUUUUAGAGGUGUUGUUUCCACUGCGAACAAUGGUGGCUUUACCAGUAUCAGAACAAAGAAUUUUACAGUAGCGGAGGAUCUUUCUGCAUAUGAUGGUUUAGAGCUUUGUCUAAAAGGUGAUGGCCACCGUUACAAAUUCAUUGUUCGAACAAGGCGUGAUUGGGACACUGUUGGUUAUACAGCUAGCUUUGACACUGUUGGAGGGCAGUGGCAGUCGGUUCGUUUGCCAUUCUCUUCUUUGAGGCCUAUAUUUCGAGCACGAACUGUGACAGAUGCUCCUCCAUUUGACCCAAGCAGUAUUAUGUCGUUGCAGCUAAUGUUCAGCAAAUUUGAGUAUGAUGGGAAAUUGAACCCAAGUUUUGUGGAGGGUGCAUUUCAACUACCGAUAUCAAAUAUGAGAGCCUACAUAAAGGAUCCUGUUACUCCAAGGUUUGUACACGUGAGCUCUGCAGGAGUAACACGACCUGAUCGGCCUGGAAUUGAUCUCAGUAAGCAACCCCCUGCUGUCCGCUUGAACAAGGAAUUAGGAUUCGUUCUGACCUUUAAGUUGAAGGGGGAGGAUUUGAUACGAGAGAGUGGAAUUCCAUAUGCUAUUGUGAGGCCUUGCGCAUUGACUGAGGAGCCAGCUGGAGCAGAUCUUAUUUUCGAUCAAGGAGACAACAUCACGGGGAAAGUUUCGAGGGAAGAGAUUGCUCGCAUUUGUGUGGCUGCUCUGGAAAGUCCGUAUGCUUGUGACAAGACAUUUGAGGUUAAAAGUGUAGUCCCAUUCAGCGAGUCUUUUACAGUGGACCCUGAAAAUCCGCCUCCUGAGAAGGACUACAAUGAAUACUUCAAAAAUUUGAAAGAUGGCAUCACAGGGAAGGAGCUCCUUCAGAAAAGUCCCGUUGCUGUCUAAUGGGAAUCUUACUCUGAAGAUAGCAGACAUUAUGUAAUGAGAAGACUUACCAGUGUGUAGAUUUGAAGCAUCACUUCCUCAAACUUGGUGUAGUGACAAUCAAAAGGAUGCCGGUACAUUUUGUUUAUAAGUACAAGGAUCAACAUCCUUCUGUUGAAUACUGAACCCUCUGUUUAUACGAAAAGUUAUUCUAUCCUGUUUUAGCAGCACUUACUUCGAAUUUUGGCAUUUAAACUAUUCUGUUGAAUGAUUGAUUAUAUGAUCCUCCUUCAACAACCCAUCAUGGAUUACUUUAUUCCUUCGUUUAGUUCCAGCACAGAUUAUUGCAAUGAAAAACAGGCUUGUUGCAAGGGAUUCUUAACAGUGUCUCGGAUGAAAAUUUGACUGUAAAUUAUACUUUAUUUCUGCUGUU
Molecule: RNA transcript, 2329 nt
Organism: Rhodamnia argentea
Lineage: Eukaryota; Viridiplantae; Streptophyta; Magnoliopsida; Myrtales; Myrtaceae
Gene name: protein HIGH CHLOROPHYLL FLUORESCENCE PHENOTYPE 173, chloroplastic
Exons: 18
Source: RefSeq, a predicted model, not a curated record